This 565-nucleotide ribosomal RNA is filed under the name Streptomyces sp. 387A12. Its description in RNAcentral is "bacterial SSU rRNA". It matches the Rfam family "Bacterial small subunit ribosomal RNA", at positions 93 to 671 of the family's 1533-position model. The record is from RNAcentral. Lineage: Bacteria; Bacillati; Actinomycetota; Actinomycetes; Kitasatosporales; Streptomycetaceae.
UAGUGGCGAACGGGUGAGUAACACGUGGGCAAUCUGCCCUUCACUCUGGGACAAGCCCUGGAAACGGGGUCUAAUACCGGAUAUGAGCCUGGGAGGCAUCUCCCGGGUUGUAAAGCUCCGGCGGUGAAGGAUGAGCCCGCGGCCUAUCAGCUUGUUGGUGAGGUAAUGGCUCACCAAGGCGACGACGGGUAGCCGGCCUGAGAGGGCGACCGGCCACACUGGGACUGAGACACGGCCCAGACUCCUACGGGAGGCAGCAGUGGGGAAUAUUGCACAAUGGGCGAAAGCCUGAUGCAGCGACGCCGCGUGAGGGAUGACGGCCUUCGGGUUGUAAACCUCUUUCAGCAGGGAAGAAGCGAAAGUGACGGUACCUGCAGAAGAAGCGCCGGCUAACUACGUGCCAGCAGCCGCGGUAAUACGUAGGGCGCAAGCGUUGUCCGGAAUUAUUGGGCGUAAAGAGCUCGUAGGCGGCUUGUCACGUCGAUUGUGAAAGCCCGAGGCUUAACCUCGGGUCUGCAGUCGAUACGGGCUAGCUAGAGUGUGGUAGGGGNAGAUCGGAAUUCCU